Molecule: long non-coding RNA, 509 nt
Organism: Balaenoptera ricei (Rice's whale)
Lineage: Eukaryota; Metazoa; Chordata; Mammalia; Artiodactyla; Balaenopteridae
Exons: 4
Source: RefSeq, a predicted model, not a curated record
GUAUGAUGUACCCUAAGUUCAGCCACAGUGAAGACAGCAGUACGCCUACCAAGAUCUCUGGAGCUUAUGGAUCUGAUUCAGAAAAUCAUCAAGCUGAAAGCAAAAUAGAAAAUGCUUCAAGACUCAUCCGUAUUGGUGACUCUCUGUAGCCUCUUUGUUCUGGUUUACCAGAUCGUACUGUAUGAUGGUGCCAUGACAGUACACCACCCUCCUGUCCCUCUAGCAAGGAGAUAUCCCAUGGGAACUUCCAUGCUGUCCCACUUCCUGCCUAAGUACCUGGAACUGAAGGGCUACAAGAUGACGAAGCUAAAAGCUGACAGUUACAGAUCCCUGAGUCACCACAUGGAGAAGAAACACCAAGGAGAGCCUCCUGGCUUCACUGGAUUAAGAAAUGAGCAAAAAAUAAACUUGUAUCAGCUGCAGAGAUCUGGAGUUUGUUGUAGCGCUCUAUCCUUACUAACAGGCUAGCACAAUAAUAUUAGGUUACACCAAUUGACAUGCUUAAAAAA